Pseudoliparis swirei is the source of this 1088-nucleotide long non-coding RNA. RefSeq lists it as uncharacterized. NCBI's taxonomy places the organism in Eukaryota, Metazoa, Chordata, Actinopteri, Perciformes, Liparidae. The transcript is spliced from 2 exons. The record is from RefSeq and is a predicted model, not a curated record.
UGGUGUUUUGAGCCCUCACCGGCGCCUUCCAGGCAGCCGCUGCCUGGAAGGCGCCGGAAGGUGGUCCCGCCCCCCAAAACUCUGAUCCAAUCAAUGCGCUACCCCCACUUGGAGCGGAGCGCAUAUUCAAAUCCACUUUUUGGAGCGCAUUGCAUAUUCAAACCCGCGCAUUUGGAGCCAAACCCACUUGGAGCGCAUUUGGAGCGCAUUUAACCCACUUGGUUCAACAAUUUCAAAGGUACGUAGCUAUUUUUGGGCCGGCUAAUGUUGUGGUAAUGUUAUUUCAACCUGCUAGCUAGCAGAUAGAUGAUGCUAAUCUUAGCUGUGGUAAUGUCAUUUCUACCUGCUAGCGAGCUAAAUCUGGUUAAAACAUUAGGUAACAAAGUAAGAUUAAUUACUGCAGAUUAAUCACUGUAUUUGAGUGAUUGUUAAUGGUUAGUGGUUAUCUUUCAAAUGAUGCCUGUGAGGCACUUGACGUUGAGACUGGUUGACUUCCAGGCUGCUUUGGAAUAAGGAUACCUCUGAGGCAGCCACCAGUUUUGGAUAACUCUGAGGCAUCAUAGGUAGUGUUGACUACUUUAUAUCAAUAAAUAACUACUUUAAAGACUUUAAAGACUACUUUAUAUCAAUAAAGAACUUCAGAAAGCCAGCUCCAAACUAUUACACCCCAGUGUCAAUAAGUGUUUCAUUGUCACAUUGGUAUGUGCAUCAAAUCUGAAUUUAAUACUGUGUUCGUGUCAUGAUAUGUCUUUCCCAUUUUUGUUAAGGCGAAGCCAAGGACCUGUGCUCCUCCGUCGGUGCUCUGGCUGCCAGGAGCAUCGAAUUUAAAGAAGUGGCCAUGCUGCCGGCAUCAGACCCCACUGUGGCCACAGGGAGAGCCACGGAGUUCAAACAACAGCUCCAGCACCUCGCCAACCAGGUGAGGUCAAAUGAGCAAUUUGACCUCCUCACGCACACCUUGGGGCCAGGAAUGGUAGAGGUGGUGGUGGAUAUUUUUUAAAAGUGUGUUGACACACACAUUGAAAAUAUUAACAAUUAGCAAUUUGUUGUUUGUUGUGUUCAUUAAUUAAAUAUCUUCAUGUUCUACA